Molecule: ribosomal RNA, 501 nt
Filed under: uncultured bacterium
Lineage: Bacteria
Description: partial 16S ribosomal RNA
Rfam family: Bacterial small subunit ribosomal RNA
Source: RNAcentral
AUUGAACGCUGGCGGCAUGCCUUACACAUGCAAGUCGAACGGCAGCACGGGUGCUUGCACCUGGUGGCGAGUGGCGAACGGGUGAGUAAUACAUCGGAACGUACCUUAUCGUGGGGGAUAACGCAGCGAAAGCUGUGCUAAUACCGCAUACGCCCUGAGGGGGAAAGCGGGGGAUCGCAAGACCUCGCGCGUUUAGAGCGGCCGAUGCCUGACUAGCUUGUUGGUGGGGUAAAAGCCCACCAAGGCGACGAUCAGUAGCUGGUCUGAGAGGACGAUCAGCCACACUGGGACUGAGACACGGCCCAGACUCCUACGGGAGGCAGCAGUGGGGAAUUUUGGACAAUGGGGGCAACCCUGAUCCAGCAAUGCCGCGUGAGUGAAGAAGGCCUUCGGGUUGUAAAGCUCUUUUGUCAGGGAAGAAACACCGGCUCUAACACAGUCUGGGAAUGACGGUACCUGAAGAAUAAGCACCGGCUAACUACGUGCCAGCCGCCGCCGUAA